Molecule: long non-coding RNA, 422 nt
Organism: Ictalurus punctatus (channel catfish)
Lineage: Eukaryota; Metazoa; Chordata; Actinopteri; Siluriformes; Ictaluridae
Source: Ensembl
GAAAAUAUGAGUUUUGGAACUUUGCAGAGUUUAUACAUGGACAAACAGAUGCAUUAUAAUCCCAAACAGAAGGAGAACAUUAAAAAUCAUGAUUCCUCUACAACCUUCGGCCCAGUUUUUACACUGCAAAUUACCUUCACCACUGCAGAGACAUUCAAUGCUGACUUAUUAAACACAACUUCAUCUGCCUACACUGAACGUGCAAAUCGUAUCACCAAUAAGUUUGGGACAGUUUUUCAAACCACAUACCCGAACUUCAAUAAUCUGAAAGUAACUGGUUUCAGGUGUGUAUUAAAUUUGCUCAUGCACCAUUUACUGAACAUUUUAGAUAUGAUUGUUUCUUAUCACUGGGAUGAUUAAUAACCUUUUCAACUGUGUUCUUGUCUAUGUAGAUCUGGGUCAACCAUCUCAGAGUUUAAUGC